Podarcis lilfordi (Lilford's wall lizard) is the source of this 71-nucleotide non-coding RNA. The record is from the annotation of a GenBank genome assembly. NCBI's taxonomy places the organism in Eukaryota, Metazoa, Chordata, Lepidosauria, Squamata, Lacertidae.
GCCUGUGGGAUAGCUCAGUCAGUAGAGCAUGAGAUUCUUAAUCUCAGUGGGUUUGAGCACCAUGUUGGGCA